This 74-nucleotide transfer RNA is filed under the name Candidatus Woesearchaeota archaeon. RNAcentral's name for it is "tRNA-Ala". It matches the Rfam family "tRNA". From Rfam's summary of the family: Transfer RNA (tRNA) molecules are approximately 80 nucleotides in length. Their secondary structure includes four short double-helical elements and three loops (D, anti-codon, and T loops). Further hydrogen bonds mediate the characteristic L-shaped molecular structure. tRNAs have two regions of fundamental functional importance: the anti-codon, which is responsible for specific mRNA codon recognition, and the 3' end, to which the tRNAs corresponding amino acid is attached (by aminoacyl-tRNA synthetases). tRNAs cope with the degeneracy of the genetic code in two manners: having more than one tRNA (with a specific anti-codon) for a particular amino acid; and 'wobble' base-pairing, i.e. permitting non-standard base-pairing at the 3rd anti-codon position. Lineage: Archaea; Nanobdellati; Candidatus Woesearchaeota. The record is from RNAcentral.
GGGCUGGUGAUUCAAUCCGGUAGAAUGCUCCCUUGGCUUGGGAGAUGCUCGGGGUUCAAAUCCCCGCCAGUCCA